GGUGGCUCAGUGGCAGAGCACUUGCCUUGCAUGCCAGAAGCCCUGGGUUCGAUUCCUCAGCACCA
RNAcentral lists this transfer RNA (65 nucleotides) under Dipodomys ordii (Ord's kangaroo rat). It matches the Rfam family "tRNA". Rfam says of the family: Transfer RNA (tRNA) molecules are approximately 80 nucleotides in length. Their secondary structure includes four short double-helical elements and three loops (D, anti-codon, and T loops). Further hydrogen bonds mediate the characteristic L-shaped molecular structure. tRNAs have two regions of fundamental functional importance: the anti-codon, which is responsible for specific mRNA codon recognition, and the 3' end, to which the tRNAs corresponding amino acid is attached (by aminoacyl-tRNA synthetases). tRNAs cope with the degeneracy of the genetic code in two manners: having more than one tRNA (with a specific anti-codon) for a particular amino acid; and 'wobble' base-pairing, i.e. permitting non-standard base-pairing at the 3rd anti-codon position. Lineage: Eukaryota; Metazoa; Chordata; Mammalia; Rodentia; Heteromyidae. The record is from Rfam by way of RNAcentral.